Molecule: transfer RNA, 75 nt
Filed under: Prevotellaceae bacterium
Lineage: Bacteria; Pseudomonadati; Bacteroidota; Bacteroidia; Bacteroidales; Prevotellaceae
Description: tRNA-Tyr
Rfam family: tRNA
About the family: Transfer RNA (tRNA) molecules are approximately 80 nucleotides in length. Their secondary structure includes four short double-helical elements and three loops (D, anti-codon, and T loops). Further hydrogen bonds mediate the characteristic L-shaped molecular structure. tRNAs have two regions of fundamental functional importance: the anti-codon, which is responsible for specific mRNA codon recognition, and the 3' end, to which the tRNAs corresponding amino acid is attached (by aminoacyl-tRNA synthetases). tRNAs cope with the degeneracy of the genetic code in two manners: having more than one tRNA (with a specific anti-codon) for a particular amino acid; and 'wobble' base-pairing, i.e. permitting non-standard base-pairing at the 3rd anti-codon position.
Source: RNAcentral
UCCGGCGUAGCUCAACCGGUUAGAGUAUUUCGAUGUAAGCGAAAAGGAUUGCAGGUUCGAAUCCUGCCGCCGGGA